GAUGAACGCUGGCGGCGUGCUUAACACAUGCAAGUCGAACGGAAAGGCCCAAGCUUGCUUGGGUACUCGAGUGGCGAACGGGUGAGUAACACGUGGGUGAUCUGCCCUGCACUUCGGGAUAAGCCUGGGAAACUGGGUCUAAUACCGGAUAGGACGAUGGUUUGGAUGCCAUUGUGGAAAGUUUUUUCGGUGUGGGAUGAGCUCGCGGCCUAUCAGCUUGUUGGUGGGGUAAUGGCCUACCAAGGCGUCGACGGGUAGCCGGCCUGAGAGGGUGUACGGCCACUUUGGGACUGGGAUACGGCCCAGACCCCUACGGGGGGCGGCAGGGGGGAAUAUUGCAAAAGGGGGGCAAGCCUGAGGCGCGGACGCCGGGGGGGGGAUGACGGCCUUCGGGUUGAAAACCCCUUUCGCUGGGGACGAAGCUUUUUUGUGACGGUACCGGGAAAAGAAGCCCCGGCUAACUACGU
This 467-nucleotide ribosomal RNA is filed under the name uncultured bacterium. RNAcentral describes it as "partial 16S ribosomal RNA". It matches the Rfam family "Bacterial small subunit ribosomal RNA", at positions 28 to 506 of the family's 1533-position model. The record is from RNAcentral.